Molecule: ribosomal RNA, 423 nt
Filed under: uncultured bacterium
Lineage: Bacteria
Description: bacterial SSU rRNA
Rfam family: Bacterial small subunit ribosomal RNA
Source: RNAcentral
GUAAGGAAUAUUGGUCAAUGGACGCAAGUCUGAACCAGCCAUGCCGCGUGGAGGAUUAAGGCCCUCUGGGUUGUAAACUCCUUUUAUCUGGGAAGAAAUGUACUUUUUCUUGAGUACUUGACGGUACCAGAGGAAUAAGCACCGGCUAACUCCGUGCCAGCAGCCGCGGUAAUACGGAGGGUGCAAGCGUUAUCCGGAUUCACUGGGUUUAAAGGGUGCGUAGGUGGGCAGGUAAGUCAGUGGUGAAAUCUCCGGGCUUAACCCGGAAACUGCCGUUGAUACUAUUUGUCUUGAAUAUUGUGGAGGUAAGCGGAAUAUGUCAUGUAGCGGUGAAAUGCUUAGAUAUGACAUAGAACACCAAUUGCGAAGGCAGCUUACUACACAAUCAUUGACGCUGAGGCACGAAAGCGUGGGGAUCAAACA